Molecule: ribosomal RNA, 255 nt
Filed under: uncultured bacterium
Lineage: Bacteria
Description: partial 16S ribosomal RNA
Rfam family: Bacterial small subunit ribosomal RNA
Source: RNAcentral
CGGAGGGAGCUAGCGUUGUUCGGAAUUACUGGGCGUAAAGCGCGCGUAGGCGGCUUUUUAAGUCAGGGGUGAAAUCCCGGGGCUCAACCCCGGAACUGCCCUUGAAACUGGAAAAGCUAGAAUCUUGGAGAGGUCAGUGGAAUUCCGAGUGUAGAGGUGAAAUUCGUAGAUAUUCGGAAGAACACCAGUGGCGAAGGCGACUGACUGGACAAGUAUUGACGCUGAGGUGCGAAAGCGUGGGGAGCAAACAGGAUU